This 337-nucleotide ribosomal RNA is filed under the name uncultured Streptomyces sp. RNAcentral's name for it is "bacterial SSU rRNA". It matches the Rfam family "Bacterial small subunit ribosomal RNA", at positions 22 to 358 of the family's 1533-position model. Lineage: Bacteria; Bacillati; Actinomycetota; Actinomycetes; Kitasatosporales; Streptomycetaceae. The record is from RNAcentral.
GGUCAGAACGAACGCUGGCUGCGCGCUUAACACAUGCAAGUCGAGCGAGAACCGGUCCUUCGGGACCGGGGAAAGCUGCGAACGGGUGAGUAACACGUGGGCAAUCUGCCCUGCACUCUGGGACAAGCCCUGGAAACGGGGUCUAAUACCGGAUAUGAUCACCGGCCGCAUGGUCUGGUGAUGGAAAGCUCCGGCGGUGCAGGAUGAGCCCGCGGCCUAUCAGCUUGUUGGUGGGGUGAUGGCCUACCAAGGCGACUACGGGUAGCCGGCCUGAGAGGGUGACCGGCCACACUGGGACUGAGACACGGCCCACACUCCUACGGGAGGCAGCAGUGGG